AAAAACUAUAUCAAAUGAAACCUCAGCGAAAUAAUGCCUAAAAUGAAAAAUAUCACGUGUGAGUAAAACGUAAAGCGAGUGAGGGGAAGAUUGGAAAUGUAUUAUUAAUUUUUUAAAUUAUAAAACAAAAUGUGAAAUAGAAAGAGAGAUUGGAAGGGGCAAACGAGUUAGAUUCGGUCUCAUAACAUAAAGGCAUGGGCAAAGAGCCAAGACUGCCUCGUGCACUGGCGUAUGUGGCGUAUUCUUAUUGGGACACGUGUGAGUCACAGUCUUCUCAGUCUUUUGGAUUGUUGUUUGCUGCCUGGGGAACAGAUUUAUAUGCACCAAAACCUAAGCUUGUCUCCAUCUAUUUAGUAUUUACAUGUAUAUUUUCUUCUUUCCUUUUUUUUUUUUUUAAGUUUGUGGGCUUACUUAAGAAUUAUUUUACUAAUUUUUCAAGUUAUUAUUAUUUUUUGGAAUGAACUAAAUUUUCAAGUUAUUGAUAUACAUCAUUAUCACAACAAAAAAAAAAAAAAGAAAAAAAGUUAAUGGUGUACA
This 537-nucleotide long non-coding RNA is filed under the name Citrus x clementina. RNAcentral's name for it is "Citrus clementina (C. clementina) long non-coding RNA (CCLE_LNC006511)". Lineage: Eukaryota; Viridiplantae; Streptophyta; Magnoliopsida; Sapindales; Rutaceae. The record is from RNAcentral.